This 253-nucleotide ribosomal RNA is filed under the name uncultured bacterium. Its description in RNAcentral is "partial 16S ribosomal RNA". It matches the Rfam family "Bacterial small subunit ribosomal RNA", at positions 524 to 776 of the family's 1533-position model. The record is from RNAcentral.
CACGUAGGGCGCGAGCGUUGUCCGGAAUUAUUGGGCGUAAAGGGCUCGUAGGCGGUUUGUUGCGUCGAAAGUGAAAAUCCGGGGCUUAACUCCGGACUUGCUUUCGAUACGGGCAGACUAGAGGUAGGCAGGGGAGAGUGGAAUUCCUGGUGUAGCGGUGGAAUGCGCAGAUAUCAGGAGGAACACCGGUGGCGAAGGCAGCUCUCUGGGCCUUACCUGGCGCUGAGGAGCGAAAGCGUGGGGAGCGAACAGG